GGUGGGCACGGCGUCGUGUGCCUGUAGUCCCAGCUAUUCGGGAGGCUGAGGCUGGAGGAUCUCUUGAGCCCAGGACUUCUGGGCUGUAGUGCGCUAUGCCGAUCGGGGGCGAUCUCCAUAUGGUGACCUCCCGGGAGCGGGGGACCACCAGGUUGCCUAAGGAGGGGUGAACUGGCCCAGGUCGGAAAUGGAACAGGUCAAAACUCCCGUGCUGAUCAGUAGGUGGGAUGGCGCCUGUGAAUAGCCACUGCACUCCAGCCUGGGCAACAUAGAGAGACCCUGUCUCU
This 287-nucleotide signal recognition particle RNA is filed under the name Saimiri boliviensis boliviensis (Bolivian squirrel monkey). RNAcentral describes it as "Metazoan signal recognition particle RNA (ENSSBOG00000003474.1)". It matches the Rfam family "Metazoan signal recognition particle RNA". From Rfam's summary of the family: The signal recognition particle (SRP) is a universally conserved ribonucleoprotein. It is involved in the co-translational targeting of proteins to membranes. The eukaryotic SRP consists of a 300-nucleotide 7S RNA and six proteins: SRPs 72, 68, 54, 19, 14, and 9. Lineage: Eukaryota; Metazoa; Chordata; Mammalia; Primates; Cebidae. The record is from RNAcentral.